GAUGAACGCUAGCUACAGGCUUAACACAUGCAAGUCGAGGGGAAACGACAUCGAAAGCUUGCUUUUGAUGGGCGUCGACCGGCGCACGGGUGAGUAACGCGUAUCCAACCUGCCCACCACUUGGGGAUAACCUUGCGAAAGUAAGACUAAUACCCAAUGAUAUCUCUAGAAGACAUCUGAAAGAGAUUAAAGAUUUAUCGGUGAUGGAUGGGGAUGCGUCUGAUUAGCUUGUUGGCGGGGUAACGGCCCACCAAGGCAACGAUCAGUAGGGGUUCUGAGAGGAAGGUCCCCCACAUUGGAACUGAGACACGGUCCAAACUCCUACGGGAGGCAGCAGUGAGGAAUAUUGGUCAAUGGACGAGAGUCUGAACCAGCCAAGUAGCGUGCAGGAAGACGGCCCUAGGGGUUGUAAACUGCUUUUAUAAGGGAAUAAAGUGAGUCUCGUGAGACUUUUUGCAUGUACCUUAUGAAUAAGGACCGGCUAAUUCCGUG
This 492-nucleotide ribosomal RNA is filed under the name uncultured bacterium. Its description in RNAcentral is "partial 16S ribosomal RNA". It matches the Rfam family "Bacterial small subunit ribosomal RNA", at positions 28 to 507 of the family's 1533-position model. The record is from RNAcentral.